GAUGAACGCUGGCGGCGUGCUUAAUACAUGCAAGUCGAACGGACAGGCCCUGCUUUUGUUGGGUGCUCGUGUGGCGAACGGGUGAGUAUCACGUGAGUAACAUGUCCUUGACUUUGGGAUAACUUCAGGGAACUGGGGCUCUUAUCGGAUAGGAGCUACUGCUGCAUGGUGUUGGUUGGAAAGUUUCGGCGGUUGGGGAUCGUCUCGCGGCUUCUCCGCUUGUUGGUGAGGUAGUGGCUUACCAAGGCUUUGACGGGUAGCCGGCAUGAGAGGGUGACCAGCCACAUGGGGACUGAGAUACGGCCCAGACGGGUACGGGAGGCAGCAGGGGAGAAUAUUGCGCAAUAGGCGGAAGCCUGAGGCAGCAACGCCGCGUGCGGGAUGACGGCCUACGGGGUGUAAACCGCUGUCGCCUGAGACGAAGCGGGAGUGACGGUAAUGGGUAAAAAAGCACCGGCUAACUACGUG
RNAcentral lists this ribosomal RNA (468 nucleotides) under uncultured bacterium. RNAcentral describes it as "partial 16S ribosomal RNA". It matches the Rfam family "Bacterial small subunit ribosomal RNA", at positions 28 to 507 of the family's 1533-position model. The record is from RNAcentral.